This is a long non-coding RNA of Thrips palmi, 722 nucleotides long. RefSeq lists it as uncharacterized. The record is from RefSeq and is a predicted model, not a curated record. NCBI's taxonomy places the organism in Eukaryota, Metazoa, Arthropoda, Insecta, Thysanoptera, Thripidae. The transcript has 4 exons.
CUCCCGAACUCCGCCGCUUCCGGCUUCCGGUCCGUCAGUACUGUGUGGACGUUGAGAGUGUGAAAGUCAAAUAAUUUUUAUCUGUGAUCAUCCGAUAAGUGGUGCACAAGUUAUAUAACCUGAAUGGUUCCUUUUUAUUCACACUUUUGAGAAAUACUGAUGGAUAGCUCUUGUUCUGAUGUCUUGGAGUUGUUAUGAAUCCUUUUUAUUCUGGCACAAUGCAAUGGAUUCUUUUGCUUCGUGAUAUGGCUUGAUGAUGAACCCGAUGUGACACUCGAUUCUGACAAACAUCUGUGUCUUGUUCUUACACCCAAUCGGGUUCUAACCUUGGUUCUGAUGUGUGGUUCUAAACCUGAACCUGUUUCCGUACAAGACUAUCCUGAAGACAUCUGUGAUGUUGAUGUGUGCCGUUUGUGUGUGUGCAUGAGCCUGUUAGAGGUUAUCUCCGUCCACCGUGCUGUUGUUUUAAUUUCUUUUAAUGUGAAGUGAGGAGUUUUAGUUCUGAAUGUUCUAGUGGUACUAGAGUGUGUUUUAAUCUGAUUUUAUUAUGUGCCUUGUGCUGUGGUUUACAGCUGUUUGAGAUUUGCCUUAAGUCUGAUCUGCUUUUGUGUUGGUGCUCAUCUGCACCUUAGUUAAGUGUUUGAUCUGCUUGUGUUGUUGCUUAUUUGCAUCUCAAUUAAGUUUAUUGGUCAAUAUUGUGAUCUCUAGUUUGUGUGUGUGAU